GUGAAUCAUCAAAUCUUUGAACGCAAAUUGCACUCUCCUCGGAGAGUAUGCCUGUUUGAGGGUCAGCCUAUAAAAAAUCGACAUCGUUGCUGUUUCGCGGUGGCGUUCGUCGGAAAUUGGGUCAUCUUAAAUCUUUUGGUUUUAAGCGACUUAAAAUUUUCUUUUUGGUUCUACGAACGUUUCUAAGAUUUAUUUCUUUACACGUUUAAGGUAUCGAUUUUUAUUAGACGUGACCAUCAUAUCGGAUCGAGACAAUAAUAUUUCAUUAACUGUCUUCAGACAGG
RNAcentral lists this unclassified non-coding RNA (284 nucleotides) under Glomeraceae sp. RNAcentral describes it as "partial contains 5.8S ribosomal RNA and internal transcribed spacer 2". The stretch from base 1 to 65 matches the Rfam family "5.8S ribosomal RNA", at positions 84 to 154 of the family's 154-position model. The record is from RNAcentral. Lineage: Eukaryota; Fungi; Glomeromycota; Glomeromycetes; Glomerales; Glomeraceae.